This 74-nucleotide transfer RNA is filed under the name Candidatus Diapherotrites archaeon CG10_big_fil_rev_8_21_14_0_10_31_34. RNAcentral's name for it is "tRNA-Pro". It matches the Rfam family "tRNA". Rfam says of the family: Transfer RNA (tRNA) molecules are approximately 80 nucleotides in length. Their secondary structure includes four short double-helical elements and three loops (D, anti-codon, and T loops). Lineage: Archaea; Nanobdellati; Candidatus Iainarchaeota. The record is from RNAcentral.
GGGGCUGUAGUGUAGCUUGGUUAUCACUUAGGCUCGGGGAGCCUACAACUCGAGUUCAAAUCUCGGCGGCCCCA